GCCUACUGUUGUACCAUCCUGAACAUACCUGAUCGCACCUGACUCUGGGAGCUAAGAAGAGUUGGGUCUGGUUAGUAUUUGGAUGGGAGAUCACCAGGGAAUACCAGGUGAUGUAGGCU
RNAcentral lists this ribosomal RNA (119 nucleotides) under Pogona vitticeps (central bearded dragon). The record is from RNAcentral. Lineage: Eukaryota; Metazoa; Chordata; Lepidosauria; Squamata; Agamidae.